GGCUCCAGCCCGGCUCUGGGCAGGUUGUGAAAGGCUGGGCUUGCUCCCCCGCCCACCGUCUGCCCGUCGUCCUUGAGGGGGCGGUAACUGUAGGAUCAGAUGGCCCUGGACUGGUCACCCGACCCAGCGUUCUCACCUGUGCAAGAGGACAGGCCUCGGGACAGGCCCGGCGUGCAGCAAGCACUCCGUAAGGGUGAGCUCCGUAAGGGUGAGCUCCGUAAGGCUCUUUCCCCUGCCUUCCCGGCUCCUCGCACAACUGUCAUCAGCAGCCCCGCCUCGCCGUCCGCCGCCGCAGGAGUCUCCUAACUCCAACAAUGAGCCACCCCGGGACGCGGGGGAAGGGCCUGGAACGCCGGCCGUGGCCCCAGCUCCCAGCCAAGCUUUCUGAGGCCUUCAAGCGGGGAGAAAGCCAAUCCUGAUCCUGUGAGCACAGUGGGGUCCUGUGGUUUGAGCACAGGCAGACAGCUGGGUUCGAAUCCCACCGCCUCCAUGUGAGCUUGGGGGUCACCCUCCACCUGGAGCCUCGCCUGCUGAAUGGGGCUGCUGAGAGGGCAGGAAUGGGCAGUCUACGUGGAGGUGCUGAGCCGGCGGCCGGUGUGUGAAAAAUGCUUGUGACACAGUGGCACUUAGUCUUAGUUUCCCUUUCCCAAAGGAACCUUAGCAUCUCAGAGCUGGGGGAGGCCUUUUCUGUUUACAAGGAAACUGAGGGCAGCCAGGGGACAGGGUUGUUUUAGGUCAUGUGGCCAGCAGAGGGCGGCGCUGGGGACAGAGGAGGGGCUUCUUGUCUGUGAGCUGUUGAGGUGUUAAAAUAGCAGGGUGUGGCCGUGGGGGUCUGGGGCUGCCCACAGGAUCGGGGCAAAGAUGUUUUCCGUGUACAGGCAUGAUCGAAAACUAUGGUGAGUGUUUACAUAUUUUAAAAUAUGCAUUACAUUGAAAGACUCAUUGCCAUGAAUUCACUUCAGGACCUUCCCCCUUGAUUUAGUCACUGGAUGCUGCUCCCAUCCUCCCUGCCUUUUCCACAGCAGCUCUGGAAGCCCUCUUCCAUCAGUGUCUACUUGC
Long non-coding RNA from Fukomys damarensis (Damara mole-rat), 1059 nucleotides. RefSeq lists it as uncharacterized. The transcript is spliced from 3 exons. The record is from RefSeq and is a predicted model, not a curated record. Lineage: Eukaryota; Metazoa; Chordata; Mammalia; Rodentia; Bathyergidae.